AACAACUCUUUUUUUCUUCCCUUUUUUCCCCAUACUUCUAUAUAUUUCCUAAAACCCAUGGUAGUGGGAAAUUAAAAAAAAAUAUAGAUCCGUCUCCGCUCAUGUGAGAGAAAAUUUGUAAAAAUAUCAAAUUUUAUUUAUAGAAAUAUCAAUUCCCUACAAUAAUACAAGCGUCAGAGCAAAAAGUUUUGUUUUUUUAAUGUCCUGAAAAAAAAAUUAAACAUUUUAAAACAUCAAUAUGACCAAACACAAACAAUGGGGACAAGGUGUAUAAUGAAUAGAACAACAUAUCUGAAUCAAAUCUCUUCAACAUCGAUCUAGUAGUGUUACCGUUCGAAAUUAAGCCACUUCCUGCUCAUAAUCAGGGCGCAAAGGGGUGUUGCUAGAACCAAUUAUACUGCUAGAGCUAAUUUAUUUAAUGCUAGAGCAAAUGGUGCAUCAUAAAUUUUGUACUUGGUGUUUAAUGAAUUGUGACAGAUUUGGAAGCUCAAAAAUCCUUUUUGAAUUAAAUCUCUAGCUAUGAUUCCUUCUAUUUCAUUUCUAUCAAAUUGCCCAAUUACUUGCCGUUGCUGAUCAUCUUUCUCUCUAUCUCUUUUUCGACUCCCUUCUGAUUUGGAAGCUCGGAAGUCUUUAUGAUCCAUUUUCACACUCUUAACUGCAUUAAUCACAUGAGAUACACAUGUAAAUAUAGUGUGGAUGAUUAGUCACCUAUACUCAUAUUUCAAAGUCCAUUUGAACUUUUCUGCAUGCUGUGCGGCUGUCACUGUUAUUGAAUCCGCAAAACCAGUCAGCCCAGUAAUCCUUGCUAUGAAAUCAGUAAUAGUCUCAUCCUCCUUUUGCCGAAUUGAUAAAAACUCCCUAGAAUACGCAUCCCUAUCAGCGUUUGGGAAGUGCUACUAAUAGAAAAGGUCACAAAAAUUACUCCAUAUGAGUGCAUCGAUGAAUCCAUCUCCCUGCGUACCCUUCAAUGAUUUCGACCAUUUCUGAGCAUCAUACUGUAGCUUAUAAAUUGCUAGUCUCACCUUUUGAUUUUUCGAACACCGAAUCACAUCAACAAUCUUCUCUAGGUGGGUGAUCCAGUUCUCCGCAUCAAUUAGAGUCGAAGCUGAACGAAAAGACUUGGACUUCUUCUUAAUAAACCUCCUCAACAACACAUAUAACAUGUAACGUGGGUUAAAUACACUUUUUCCCAUUCUACCCGACCUCGGUUUACAAAUGAAUCAUUGAACUGAAUUUUUUUUUAAUUCGACUCACUGAAUUAUAAUUUUUUUACAAACCGUUACAAAUUCCGUUAAAUUAUUUGACUUUGGACGGAAAAAUUACAGCAGUUGCCAUGUGAGAGAGAGAAACCCAUUUUUGUCAGACAUUUGUCUGUGUGGCAUGUCUAGAUGGAAAACUUGUAUAAAUUUAAUGCUAAAUUAAUCAAAAUCAAAUAAAUAAAAUAAAAUAAUGCAUUCAAAAUAAAAGUACAAUAAAAAUAUUUUUUUUAAUUUUAUUUUAAUCAUGAAUAUUUGUAUAAUUUUAAAUAAAUUAUAUAAAUUACACAUAAUUAUAUAAUUUUCUUUUAAUAUAAAUAACUCAUUAAAUUCAUUAAUUUAAUUAACCUCUCUUCAGAUAAAACUAAAAUUAGUAAUAAAAUGUAUAAAUGUCUGACAUGUUACUGUAUUAAGAUAUAU
This 1676-nucleotide long non-coding RNA is filed under the name Panax ginseng (ginseng). RNAcentral describes it as "long non-coding RNA (PGIN_LNC009961)". Lineage: Eukaryota; Viridiplantae; Streptophyta; Magnoliopsida; Apiales; Araliaceae. The record is from RNAcentral.